CUCUUAUCUAGAGCGGUGGAGGGACUGGCCCUUUGAAACCGCGGCAACCUUCAUAAUUAAAUGAAAGGUGCCAAUUCCUGCAGAAAAUGAAAGAUGAGAG
Molecule: non-coding RNA, 100 nt
Filed under: Oceanobacillus iheyensis
Lineage: Bacteria; Bacillati; Bacillota; Bacilli; Caryophanales; Bacillaceae
Also listed under: 1 other name
Description: SAM-I sequence
Rfam family: SAM riboswitch aptamer (S box leader)
About the family: The SAM riboswitch is found upstream of a number of genes which code for proteins involved in methionine or cysteine biosynthesis in Gram-positive bacteria.
Source: RNAcentral